GGGCUAGUGGUGCAAUGGAUAAUGCGUCUGACUACAGAUCAGAAGAUUCCCAGGUUCGAUUCCUGGCUAGCUCG
Non-coding RNA from Nerophis lumbriciformis (worm pipefish), 74 nucleotides. The record is from the annotation of a RefSeq genome assembly. NCBI's taxonomy places the organism in Eukaryota, Metazoa, Chordata, Actinopteri, Syngnathiformes, Syngnathidae.